GAACGCUGGCGGCAUGCCUAACACAUGCAAGUCGAACGGUAACGCGGAGAGCUUGCUCUCUGGCGACGAGUGGCGGACGGGUGAGUAAUACUUAGGAAUCUACCCAGUAGUGGGGGACAACAUUCGGAAACGGAUGCUAAUACCGCAUACGCACUACGGUGGAAAGUGGGGGACCUUCGGGCCUCACGCUAUUGGAUGAGCCUAAGUCGGAUUAGCUUGUUGAUGAGGUAAUGGCUCACCAAGGCGACGAUCCGUAGCUGGUCUGAGAGGACGAUCAGCCACACUGGGACUGAGACACGGCCCAGACUCCUACGGGAGGCAGCAGUGGGGAAUAUUGGACAAUGGGCGCAAGCCUGAUCCAGCAAUGCCGCGUGUGUGAAGAAGGCCUGCGGGUUGUAAAGCACUUUCAGUAGAGAAGAAAAGCCUAGGGAUAAUACCCCUGAGUCUUGACGUAACCUACAGAAGAAGCACCGGCUAACUCCGUG
RNAcentral lists this ribosomal RNA (485 nucleotides) under uncultured bacterium. Its description in RNAcentral is "bacterial SSU rRNA". It matches the Rfam family "Bacterial small subunit ribosomal RNA", at positions 31 to 507 of the family's 1533-position model. The record is from RNAcentral.